CGGUGUUUAACUGGCGUGAUGUGGGACGUCCUACCGGUGGGCUUAGCCUCGCGAGGGGCGGCCCAACUAAUAUCCCGUCGCGGUGCUCUUUACUGAGUGUCGAGUCGGGCCGGUACGUUUACUUUGAACAAAUUAGAGUGCUUAAAGCCAGGCUAUCCUCGCCUGAAUACUGCGUGCAUGGAAUAAUGGAAUAGGACCUCGGUUCUAUUUUUGUUGGUUUUCGGAACCCCGAGGUAAUGAUUAAUAGGGACAGAUGGGGGCAUUCGUAUUGCGACGUUAGAGGUGAAAUUCUUGGAUCGUCGCAAGACGGACAGAAGCGAAAGCAUUUGCCAAAAAUGUUUUCAUUAAUCAAGAACGAAAGUUAGAGGUUCGAAGGCGAUCAGAUACCGCCCUAGUUCUAACCAUAAACGAUGCCAGCUAGCGAUCCGCCGAAGUUCCUCCGAUGACUCGGCGGGCAGCUUCCGGGAAACCAAAGCUUUUGGGUUCCGGGGGAAGUAUGGUUGCAAAGCUGAAACUUAAAGGAAUUGACGGAAGGGCACCACCAGGAGUGGAGCCUGCGGCUUAAUUUGACUCAACACGGGAAACCUCACCAGGCCCAGACACCGGAAGGAUUGACAGAUUGAUAGCUCUUUCUUGAUUCGGUGGGUGGUGGUGCAUGGCCGUUCUUAGUUGGUGGAGCGAUUUGUCUGGUUAAUUCCGAUAACGAACGAGACUCUAGCCUGCUAAAUAGGCGUACCUUAUGGUAUCGCGAAGGCCCCCGGCUUCGGCCGGUGGGUUUUUACUACCAACGUACAAACAAAUCUUUUUAGAGGGACAGGCGG
Molecule: ribosomal RNA, 821 nt
Filed under: uncultured eukaryote
Lineage: Eukaryota
Description: SSU rRNA
Rfam family: Eukaryotic small subunit ribosomal RNA
Source: RNAcentral